RNAcentral lists this transfer RNA (91 nucleotides) under Pseudoclavibacter caeni. RNAcentral describes it as "Pseudoclavibacter sp. MJ28 tRNA". It matches the Rfam family "tRNA". Rfam says of the family: Transfer RNA (tRNA) molecules are approximately 80 nucleotides in length. Their secondary structure includes four short double-helical elements and three loops (D, anti-codon, and T loops). Lineage: Bacteria; Bacillati; Actinomycetota; Actinomycetes; Micrococcales; Microbacteriaceae. The record is from Rfam by way of RNAcentral.
GGAGACGUCGCAUAGUCUGGUCGAGUGCACCACCCUGCUAAGGUGGAGUCCCGGGUUUCCGGGACCGAGGGUUCAAAUCCCUCCGUCUCCG